CUACGGGACGCUCCAGCAGCGGAUCAUUUACAAUGCACGAAAGUGUGAUAAUGUGAGCCAAAGUGCUUUUCGUUUAGAAAAGCUUUUCUUCAUCGUAAAAACAUGGAGGAAUAAGGACUGGGAAAGACUGGUGCCAGCCGCCGCGGUAAUACCAGCAGUUCAAGUCGCAUCCCUUUUUAUUGGGUCUAAAACAUCCGUAGCUUGUUUAUUAAGUCUCUUGUGAAAUCCUGUGUCUCAAGCACAGGGCUUGCAGGAGAUACUGAUAAACUAGAGAUCGGUAGGCGUAAGGAGUACGCUGGAGGUAGCGGUAAAAUGCGUUAAUCUUCGGUGGACUAACAAUGAGCGAAGGCACCUUACGAGGACGAAUCUGACAGUGAGGGAUGAAGGCCAGGGGCGCAAAGGGGAUUAGAUACCCUCGUAGUC
RNAcentral lists this ribosomal RNA (423 nucleotides) under uncultured archaeon. RNAcentral describes it as "partial 16S ribosomal RNA". It matches the Rfam family "Archaeal small subunit ribosomal RNA", at positions 323 to 746 of the family's 1478-position model. The record is from RNAcentral.